Molecule: ribosomal RNA, 482 nt
Filed under: uncultured bacterium
Lineage: Bacteria
Description: partial 16S ribosomal RNA
Rfam family: Bacterial small subunit ribosomal RNA
Source: RNAcentral
AUUGAACGCUGGCGGCAUGCCUUACACAUGCGAGUCGAACGGUAACAGGUCUUCGGAUGCUGACGAGUGGCGAACGGGUGAGUAAUACAUCGGAACGUGCCCGAUCGUGGGGGAUAACGAAGCGAAAGCUUUGCUAAUACCGCAUACGAUCUACGGAUGAAAGCAGGGGACCGCAAGGCCUUGCGCGAACGGAGCGGCCGAUGGCAGAUUAGGUAGUUGGUGGGAUAAAAGCUUACCAAGCCGACGAUCUGUAGCUGGUCUGAGAGGACGACCAGCCACACUGGGACUGAGACACGGCCCAGACUCCUACGGGAGGCAGCAGUGGGGAAUUUUGGACAAUGGGCGAAAGCCUGAUCCAGCCAUGCCGCGUGCAGGAUGAAGGCCUUCGGGUUGUAAACUGCUUUUGUACGGAACGAAAAGACUCUGGUUAAUACCUGGGGUCCAUGACGGUACCGUAAGAAUAAGCACCGGCUAACUACGUG